CCACUGCCUUGCAUACUGACACCACCUCCACCUCUCCCCCCCCCCUACAUCUGUCUUGUUGUUGUCGCCGUCGUCGCAGCGGAGCCUUCUUUCCACCACCAUGCCGCUCGACAAACCCUCUCUCCUGGGCGAGGACGGCGACAGCGACGGGCGGCGGCGGAGAGCCUGGCCCGCCUCGACGCUCUCGCCUCCGCCGGCCCUGAGUCGCUCGUACGCGGCCAGGAGGAGUCUGGCGGCGGCGGCGGUGGGGGGUAGGAAGAUAACGCAUCCCGGCAAGGCUAUCUUAGCAGGUGGGAUUGCGGGCGGAAUCGAGAUUUGUAUCACCUUCCCGACGGAGUACGUCAAGACUCAGCUGCAGCUCGAUGAGCGAGCCAACCCGCCGCGCUACCGGGGCAUCGGUGACUGCGUGAAGCUGACCGUGCAGGAUCACGGACUGCGAGGCCUGUACCGAGGACUCAGCUCGCUGCUCUAUGGCUCCAUCCCCAAGUCGGCAGUCAGAUUUGGCACCUUCGAGAUCCUCAGCAACCCAAUGCGAGAUGCCACGGGCCGACUGGACAACACGCGGAGCCUCCUGUGUGGCUUGGGGGCAGGUAUUACCGAGGCUAUCGUCAUUGUGUGUCCCAUGGAGACGCUCAAGGUGAAAAUGAUUCACGACCAGUGCUCGAUGAGGCCUCGCUAUCGAGGUUUCUUUCACGGCGUCAGCGAGAUCAUCAGAGAACAAGGUGUCCGGGGGACCUAUCAAGGUCUGACGGCGACCGUGCUUAAGCAGGGAACCAAUCAGGCCAUCCGGUUUUACGUGAUGAAUGCGCUACGUAAUUGGUACAAAGGUGACGAUCCCAGAAAGGAAAUGCACCCAAUCGUCACGGCCAUGUUCGGAGCCACGGCGGGGGCCGCCAGCGUCUUCGGCAACACACCUCUUGAUGUGGUCAAGACCAGAAUGCAGGGUCUGGAUGCCCAUCGCUACAAGAACACGGUGGACUGCGCCUUCCAGAUCCUCAAGCAGGAAGGACCGCAAGCGUUCUACAAGGGGACCGUUCCCCGGCUGGGCCGAGUGUGCUUGGAUGUGGCUAUCGUCUUUGUCAUCUACGAGGAGGUGGUCAAGUUGCUCAACAACGUAUGGAAGACCCAAUAGGAGGACCAGUGAGGACUCCCAUAAAACAAGACAGGCAAGGCCUUCCAGAAACCACCGGACAUUUCCACAUGUCAUUUUUGGAACUUGGAGGACUGACUGAUGAAGAGCAAGAAAGGGGGAAAAAAAGGCCAAUUGCUUCAAACAACGAUUGGUUUUGUGAUAAUUAGGUGGAGUUCCAAAAUUGGGUAUUGCGCCAAAAAAAAUGCCAGCACACAGUUGUAACAUCUAACACUUUUUGUCACAUCUUAUCAAUGGUUGGUUUUUGUUUUUUUUUGGGGAAAAGGGCACAAUCUUCCAUUAGCCACAUGCUAAGCCAAUCUGUCUCAUUUGGUGUCACGCUACUCUGAUAGUGUAGCAUGCAAAGCUAAGUAGCAAACCUAGCAUCUCAUACCAGAUUACCUCCAAGUUGAUUCACUCCGCUUUUUGUAAAUGGCAAAACUGUCUUG
RNA transcript from Hippocampus comes (tiger tail seahorse), 1578 nucleotides. It is a transcript of the gene named solute carrier family 25 member 1a, with no coding region annotated. Lineage: Eukaryota; Metazoa; Chordata; Actinopteri; Syngnathiformes; Syngnathidae. The transcript has 10 exons. The record is from RefSeq and is a predicted model, not a curated record.